AGUGGGGAAUCUUAGACAAUGGGGGAAACCCUGAUCUAGCCAUGCCGCGUGAGUGACGAAGGCCUUAGGGUCGUAAAGCUCUUUCGCUGGGGAAGAUAAUGACGGUACCCAGUAAAGAAACCCCGGCUAACUCCGUGCCAGCAGCCGCGGUAAUACGGAGGGGGUUAGCGUUGUUCGGAAUUACUGGGCGUAAAGCGCACGUAGGCGGGCUGUUAAGUCGGGGGUGAAAUCCCGGGGCUCAACCCCGGAACUGCCUUCGAUACUGGCAGCCUUGAGUUCGAGAGAGGUGAGUGGAAUUCCGAGUGUAGAGGUGAAAUUCGUAGAUAUUCGGAGGAACACCAGUGGCGAAGGCGGCUCACUGGCUCGAUACUGACGCUGAGGUGCGAAAGCGUGGGGAGCAAA
This 402-nucleotide ribosomal RNA is filed under the name uncultured Tropicimonas sp. RNAcentral describes it as "bacterial SSU rRNA". It matches the Rfam family "Bacterial small subunit ribosomal RNA", at positions 353 to 772 of the family's 1533-position model. Lineage: Bacteria; Pseudomonadati; Pseudomonadota; Alphaproteobacteria; Rhodobacterales; Roseobacteraceae. The record is from RNAcentral.